Molecule: ribosomal RNA, 467 nt
Filed under: uncultured bacterium
Lineage: Bacteria
Description: partial 16S ribosomal RNA
Rfam family: Bacterial small subunit ribosomal RNA
Source: RNAcentral
ACGAACGCUGGCGGCGUGCUUAACACCUGCAAGUCGAACGGAAAGGCCCUGCUUUUGUGGGGUGCUCGAGUGGCGAACGGGUGAGUAACACGUGAGUAACCUGCCCUUGACUUUGAGAUAACUUCAGGAAACUGGGGCUAAUACCGGAUAGGAGCUCCUGCUGCAUGGUGGGGGUUGGAAAGUUUCGGCGGUUGGGGAUGGACUCGCGGCUUAUCAGCUUGUUGGUGGGGUAGUGGCUUACCAAGGCUUUGACGGGUAGCCGGCCUGAGAGGGUGACCGGCCACAUUGGGACUGAGAUACGGCCCAGACUCCUACGGGAGGCAGCAGUGGGGAAUAUUGCACAAUGGGCGGAAGCCUGAUGCAGCAACGCCGCGUGCGGGAUGACGGCCUUCGGGUUGUAAACCGCUUUCGCCUGUGACGAAGCGUGAGUGACGGUAAUGGGUAAAGAAGCACCGGCUAACUACGUG